This 1168-nucleotide long non-coding RNA is filed under the name Castor canadensis (American beaver). RNAcentral's name for it is "lncRNA (ENSCCNG00000024862.1)". The record is from RNAcentral. Lineage: Eukaryota; Metazoa; Chordata; Mammalia; Rodentia; Castoridae.
UGCAGUGCCUGCCCUUCGAUAAAAGUUUCCGGUACUGUAGUACUGCAUGAAUGAAUGACUGAGUAGGAGCCGCACCUCUUCUCCUGGAGCCACCAAGCUGGACAGCAAAUACAGGUGUGUCCAGGCUGCAGAGCCUGCCCUCCUUCUUAUCUCCCCGCCCCCUUCCAGGGAAGGGUAAGAUCUUCAAAGCGCUUAUAAAUUUGUAAGCUUUUGACGUAGACGCCUCCAAGGCCCCAUUCACUGCCGUACUAGUCACUGAAUAUACUUGUGCUGGCGCCUCCCCAGAUCGAGCCCUCAAGGGAAGGAACGGGUCCAAGGACGCUCAAGCGAAUUUUGAAGAAUUCGGUCUUCCGCUUGCCACCGUCCCGGAGCUUCUAAGAGCGGAGGGUUGGGACGCCAACGGGCACAGGUGGAAUCCAUGCAGUCCACCCCGGUGCAAUCAGGCUGCCAGGAGUAGGAUGGACUCCCGAGCGCGCUCGGCUGCUGGACCCCAGCAGCGGGCCUCUGCAAAGGGGGAGUCUGGGCAGCUCCCGGGUGGGAGGGGCCUGAGCCGGGAGGCCUUGUCAUUGGCUCCGCGGGCCGGGGGCGGGGCUUCAGGGCCACGGGCCGCACAGUAAGUUCACGGCCCGGGUCGCGUCCCAUAGCCGCGCAGUCCUGCUCCGGAGCUAUCGCCGCCCGCGGGUCGGCCGCCUGCGCGUCUCACGCUCCUGGGAAGGCUCCUGCCUGGAGCCCGAGGACAUUGGAGACCGGGGUUGGUCUGGACUCCUCUGGAACGCGGGGCGAUAGCGGGGGACGCGCGCGUCACCUAGUGGCUGCGGGACCGGACGCAGGUCAGCACCAGGUCCCCGGGAGACUCCGCACUGGCCACAUCCAGGCAGGCAAGAAGAGGCGAACACCUGGGGUCAGGGGCGGUUCGUUUUUGUUCUUUUUCUGAGCACUGUCCUAGAGAACCAAAAUGCUUGAACAGGCCUUGCAGAUAUUUGAUGAAUUCAUUUGACAGAACUGACAGUGACCAUUGACCCCAUCUGUUGUGCAGUGGCACUCUUAACUACAGUAUACCAUGGAUAAUUUAUUGUUAGCCCAUUUUGUAGAUGGGGAAGGCGAGACCUAGAGAGGAGAGGUGUCUUUCUUGCUCAAGGUCACAGGGUUCCAGAUGGGGCUGAAUUCA